RNAcentral lists this long non-coding RNA (2450 nucleotides) under Lactuca sativa (garden lettuce). RNAcentral's name for it is "long non-coding RNA (LSAT_LNC006914)". The record is from RNAcentral. Lineage: Eukaryota; Viridiplantae; Streptophyta; Magnoliopsida; Asterales; Asteraceae.
UAGAUUUCAGCUUGUUAUCGAAGGAAGUAGGAAGAUUAGCGAUGGGGUUAACCAAGGUUGGUGUAAUGGUGGGUUUAAAAGAACAUACCGGAUCUAAUGAAAGAUUCUCCAUGAGCAUGUUCAACAUACCGGAUCGAAUGAAAGAUUCUCCAUGAGCACGUUCAACAAAAAUUAAAUUUAUUUAUAGCGUUAAAAAUAGAAAUUUUCAUUAAGUAUAUUUGAACGUUAUGGAUAAUAAAAAUGAAUAAAUUACGUUCUCUUGAUUUUGUAAAUAUAAAGAACGUCCAAAACGAAAAUCGUAUGAGAAAGUUACGCUUCUUUAAAGGUAUAAAAAUCAAUAUUUAUCUAAUUUUCCUGAAACAAACCGUGCACUGCUUCGUUUGGGAUAGUUAUGAGUCUCGUAAACUAUUUUUGAACACGUUUUUGAAUUCAGAUUAUGUAUACAAUUAUAAUAUUGUAAUAGCACUACUAUACACAUGUAUACAAUUAUAAUUUUAUAACAACACUACUAUACACAUGCAUAUAUAAGUCAUAGAGCCUCCAAACACUAAUAUCAAUCAUGUACAAUAAAUUUUGGCUCCCAUUUACUUGCAAUACUCGAUUUCCCAUACAUAUAUCAUAUACAUAUAUAACCAACCACUAAUAUGUGUAUAAACACAUUAUAUGUAAAUAUAUAUGUAUACAAUUUCCCAUACAUAUUGUACUAUACAACUGCACACUCAAAUAAAUAAUACACAAAAGAAGUUUAAGAAAAUAUUGCGACGGUACAACUAAAUCCAAAAAAAUCUAAAAUCAUGUUCCUACAAUACCACACACAUAAGGAAUACCACACACAAUGAAAUUGGACAAUCCUACACUCAAAGCAAAACAUAUUAUAAACAAUUCAAUUGAAGCUGUGAAAACAAUAAACCAAAACACAUCCAUGUUCUUUCUUUCUGCAUCGAUCCCAGCCAAGAACACCUCCAUUUAAUCCAAGAACACCUCCAAAUGGAGGUGUUGUGGUAUUUCAGCUAGCCAUAAAGGGCAGCUACACCCUUUGUUUCUCGUCUUCUUUCCCAUCGAUUUCACAACCCCGAUUGUGCUCCUCCUUCCCUGUCAAAUAAAGCAAACCAAACACCUUCCUUUUGAUUUUCGAUGUUUCUUUUUUCCCUUUCAAACACGGAACUUAAACAUCCAUUUCCCCUAUCGAUUCCUAUCAAACAUCAACACCCAAACAUCCAAUUUCCAAUGAUUUCUAUCAAAAAAAUAGAAACAAAAUAGAAAGAAGAAGAUCAGGGGAGUUUCCGGAGCAGCCCCGUCCACGUACCUUUCAACGAUCGAGAGCAAAUCCCACCGAAGUGGGUGUUUCCCCGGAGCAAACACGGGAGGCGACAGCCCCCUCUGAUCCCUCGACCUCUUUCCUACCGCGACGACGCUGCUGCCCUACCCCCUCCCGUUCUUCCCUUCGGCCCGUCGAACCCAGGAGAACACAUCGGUUUGCGAACCCGAUCGACGAAACCCUUUCUGGCCUCCUUCACUUCGCAACCCGUUAGCCACACCGAACCCUCGUACCUCCCAUUCACACCGAACUACCGUAGAUGCCUUCGCCCUUCGACCUUACUGUUGCUUCCGUGCGUCCUCCUUCCUCUCUCGAUCGAAAACCUCGCCCCUUGCAAGCUUUCAUUCGUGUUUUCUUCUUGAUUCUUCCUGAUCAGACGAGGACCGAACCCCCAAAUGAUCUUUUUUUCCCGAUUUCUGUUGAAUCCGUGUGUUCCAUUCGUCUGUUUCGUUCGUAAUACUAUAUCUGUCUCUGCUUUUUUUUUUUGCCCGAUCAGUCCAAGUGACGAGGGCAUAAAGCCCUAAUCCUCCUAAGCUUGAGCCAUUAAACACAUCUAGCCCCUCCAUUUGCAGCUUUAAUUUAAAAUCAGCCUAUUUGCAAAUGGUUAGUCAAAACAGCCCUUAUUUGAAUUAUCUAGCCAAAUAAACCCCUCAAUUGAAGGAGGCCAAAAAUUUUGAUUUAAACCAUUACCAUAAGUUCCUAUAGUUUCUUUGUGAUUUAAAUAGUCCCUUUGUUUCUAAAAAAACUGCAUUAUUAGAGGCCAGAAAUACUUGAUCAAAAAUAGUCCCUUUGUGAUUUAAACCAUUACCAUAAGUUCCUAUAGUUUCUAAAAAAAAAUUGAACACAAUAAUCCUAUUAUUUUAUUUGUUACAAAACAAACCCUUUCGGUUAAAAAUAUUACACAAAAACCCGAGGGUUUGUUGUAGCUCAAAAGACAUCAAGAUGUGGGUUCUCACGUGAAGUUUCACGAAAAUGAAACCAAUUCCAUACAAAUCGAACUCACACUUCAAUGGUGAAUUUCUACGGCCCCUCUUUUACUGUUUUAAUAUUUGGGAGAGAAUACAUGUGUGUCUAUUAAAGUUUUGAUGAUUUUAUGUUUUAUAUACAAAAUAGCAACAUACUUUAUUAUUGG